Molecule: small RNA, 965 nt
Filed under: Chlorencoelia torta
Lineage: Eukaryota; Fungi; Ascomycota; Leotiomycetes; Helotiales; Cenangiaceae
Description: eukaryotic LSU rRNA
Rfam family: 5.8S ribosomal RNA (bases 653-806)
Source: RNAcentral
UUCCCUUCGGGGGUCUGGCGUGCCAGGUCAUGCAUGACCUGCCCGCUGAAUGAUUCUUCCACUGUGACACUUAUCGAAGCCUAUGCGCCCCUGCAAAGGGGUUCUGCCGCGACUGAAAAGAAUGGUAAAAAUGCAAGUCAGCGCUGGAGCUGGCAACACAAUCGAAAUGCGGGGAUCUCCUAAAGCUCGGUGGUACCAACUGGCAGUGGAAACGCUCCCAGGGCCCGUGUUAACUACACGGGGUACGGUCACAACCCAUCGAGAUUCUGCAAUGGACAAUCCGCAGCAGAGCCCCUAACGGCCCCCCCAGUGGUGCCUACGGGGAGUGUUCACAGACUAAGUGAUUGUGGGCCACACCCCAAGGUGUGGUCUAAGAUAUAGUCGGGCCCCUUCCGAAAGGUGGGGGGUAAGUUUAUAGCUGUCACGACCGCCUGAAUCUUGGUUAGGCGGGGUGACGUGAACCCCAAACCGUUCCGUAGGUGAACCUGCGGAAGGAUCAUUACAGAGCUCAUGCCCGAAAGGGUAGACCUCCCACCCUUGCGUAUUCAUACUUUGUUGCUUUGGCGGAGCGGCCACCGGCUGGUGUGCCCCCCGCCAGAGGACCCAUAACACGCUGAAUAUUAGUGUCGUCUGAGUACUAUAUAAUCGUUAAAACUUUCAACAACGGAUCUCUUGGUUCUGGCAUCGAUGAAGAACGCAGCGAAAUGCGAUAAGUAAUGUGAAUUGCAGAAUUCAGUGAAUCAUCGAAUCUUUGAACGCACAUUGCGCCCCUUGGUAUUCCGGGGGGCAUGCCUGUUCGAGCGUCAUUUUCACCACUCAAGCCUGGCUUGGUGUUGGGCCCUGCUGGCAACGGCAGGCCUUAAAGACAGUGGCGGUGCCCUGAGGCCCUGAGCGUAGUACAUCUCUCGCUACAGGCCCUGAGGGUUCCCGGCCAGCAACCCCAAUUUUUCUUAGGUGACCUCGAU